RNAcentral lists this ribosomal RNA (467 nucleotides) under uncultured bacterium. RNAcentral describes it as "partial 16S ribosomal RNA". It matches the Rfam family "Bacterial small subunit ribosomal RNA", at positions 28 to 506 of the family's 1533-position model. The record is from RNAcentral.
GACGAACGCUGGCGGCGUGCUUAACACAUGCAAGUCGAACGGAAAGGCCCUGCUUUUGUGGGGUGCUCGAGUGGCGAACGGGUGAGUAACACGUGAGUAACCUGCCCUUGACUUUGGGAUAACUUCAGGAAACUGGGGCUAAUACCGGAUAGGAGCUCCUGCUGCAUGGUGGGGGUUGGAAAGUUUCGGCGGUUGGGGCUGGACUCGCGGCUUAUGAGCUUGUUGGUGGGGUAGUGGCUUACCAAGGCUUUGACGGGUAGCCGGCCUGAGAGGGUGACCGGCCACAUUGGGACUGGGAUACGGCCCAGACGGCUACGGGAGGCAGCAGUGGGGAAUAUUGCACAAUGGGCGGAAGCCUGGUGCAGCAACGCCGCGUGCGGGAUGACGGCCUUCGGGUUGUAAACCGCUUUCGCCUGUGACGAAGCGUGAGUGACGGGAAUGGGUAAAGAAGCACCGGCUAACUACGU